Molecule: ribosomal RNA, 507 nt
Filed under: Triticum aestivum (bread wheat)
Lineage: Eukaryota; Viridiplantae; Streptophyta; Magnoliopsida; Poales; Poaceae
Description: partial small subunit ribosomal RNA
Source: RNAcentral
AUGGGCAUGCAGUCUAUGAUGGCUGUCCGGUGCACGAACCUUGUCAACCCUGUAUGCGACUGGCUUGGUGAGAUCUACGAGCCUGCCUCCAGGGAAUUCGUGAUUCCUGGACGCGGAAGACUUCCGUUGAACGAGGAACCUGUGUUCUGCACUUUGGGUGUGCCUCUUGGACAUAUCAAAGUCUCGUACGAGGUCAAUAAUGAGAUUGAGGAAGCUAUGUUCGCCCGUUUGUUUCCUGGAUUGGAGUCCAUGCCGAACACGUCUGUACUGGCAGAUUCGCUGCAGGCCAUGACGACGCACGGAGAUGUUUUCAAGAUGAAGCUACUCAUGUACCUCAUCUCAGCUGUUUUCACGCCGACCACUUCCCUUCGCCCAAGCAACAAGUGUUUCCCCAUCCUGGCGAAUUUGAAAAAUGUGAAGAACAUGAACUGGUGUAAGUUUAUUGCCGACUUUCUCCAUGAUGCUUUCAAAAACAAGAUGUAUCAGAAGGGUGUCGACUACAUUUAA